RNAcentral lists this ribosomal RNA (590 nucleotides) under uncultured bacterium. RNAcentral describes it as "partial 16S ribosomal RNA". It matches the Rfam family "Bacterial small subunit ribosomal RNA", at positions 355 to 1375 of the family's 1533-position model. The record is from RNAcentral.
UGGGGAAUUUUGGACAAUGGGCGAAAGCCUGAUCCAGCAAUGCCGCGUGUGUGAAGAAGGCCUUCGGGUUGUAAAGCACUUUUGUCCGGAAAGAAAUCCUUGGCUCUAAUACAGUCGGGGGUAUGGGACUGGGUACCGGAAGAAUAAGCACCGGCUAACUACGUGCCAGCAGCCGCGGUAAUACGUAGGGUGCAAGCGUUAAUCGGAAUUACUGGGCGUAAAGCGUGCGCAGGCGGUUUGCUAAGACCGAUGUGAAAUCCCCGGGCUCAACCUGGGAACUGCAUUGGUGACUGGCAGGCUAGAGUAUGGCAGAGGGGGGUAGAAUUCCACGUGUAGCAGUGAAAUGCGUAGAGAUGUGGAGGAAUACCGAUGGCGAAGGCAGCCCCCUGGGCCAAUACUGACGCUCAUGCACGAAAGCGUGGGGAGCAAACAGGAUUAGAUACCCUGGUAGUCCACGCCCUAAACGAUGUCAACUAGUUGUUGGGGAUUCAUUUCCUUAGUAACGUAGCUAACGCGUGAAGUUGACCGCCUGGGGAGUACGGUCGCAAGAUUAAAACUCAAAUGAAUUGACGGGGUCAUAGCUGUUUCCU